Long non-coding RNA from Dendroctonus ponderosae (mountain pine beetle), 513 nucleotides. RefSeq lists it as uncharacterized. The record is from RefSeq and is a predicted model, not a curated record. NCBI's taxonomy places the organism in Eukaryota, Metazoa, Arthropoda, Insecta, Coleoptera, Curculionidae. The transcript is spliced from 2 exons.
AACCACAAAGUAAUAUGUAUAAAAUAACGCCAGCUGCCCAUACGUCAAUCUGAAAAGGAAAUGUGAAUGUUGAAUGAUUGGCAUUUUAGGUUUAGGACCGGUACUGAAACAACAUCAAACUACAUUAAACCAUAUACUUAGAAAAAUAUUAAAAUAACCAAUUCAGCAAUUCAUUGAAAUUACGUUAAAACUAUUAAAUGUUGGUGAAUUCCAAUAACAAUCAGCAAUACGUCUAGGAAAUACAAACCCAUUUCGAAGACAGGGAGUCUUUUUAUAUUGCUGAAUCGACUUGCUUUCUUCGAAGUCCAAUUCAAAAUCAUCUAGACUAUGCCGUUCAUUCCCAUAGAUAAAGAAAACAUCCUCUGAUUCGAAGAAAUGUGGAAGUACUGUCACUGGUUGACCUAAUAAUGCAAACAGAAGCCUUAGAAAUGUUACGAAGCUUAUCGUACGUAGGUAUAAGCAAACCUUAAAAUGAAUUUAUUUAAAACAUUAAUAAAAACAAGAUUAUUCAAA